RNAcentral lists this ribosomal RNA (253 nucleotides) under uncultured bacterium. RNAcentral describes it as "partial 16S ribosomal RNA". It matches the Rfam family "Bacterial small subunit ribosomal RNA", at positions 524 to 776 of the family's 1533-position model. The record is from RNAcentral. RNAcentral also lists the same sequence under 1 other name.
UACGUAGGGUGCAAGCGUUGUCCGGAAUUAUUGGGCGUAAAGAGCUCGUAGGCGGUUUGUCGCGUCGAAUGUGAAAUCCCGGGGCUCAACCCCGGGUCUGCAUUCGAUACGGGCAGACUAGAGUUCGGUAGGGGAGUCUGGAAUUCCUGGUGUAGCGGUGAAAUGCGCAGAUAUCAGGAGGAACACCGGUGGCGAAGGCGGGACUCUGGGCCGAUACUGACGCUGAGGAGCGAAAGCGUGGGGAGCAAACAGG